RNAcentral lists this long non-coding RNA (4293 nucleotides) under Nicotiana benthamiana. RNAcentral describes it as "long non-coding RNA (NBEN_LNC042350)". The record is from RNAcentral. Lineage: Eukaryota; Viridiplantae; Streptophyta; Magnoliopsida; Solanales; Solanaceae.
CAUAAUUCACUACUCUAAGAAAGCAAUUUUCGGAAUUUGGGAAGUUGUUUUUCUUCACAAAUUCUUCAUAAUCUUGAUCUUUAUUUUUAGCCAUGACUCUUUUUGAUCUAUCAAAGACCUGCUGUGAACUUCAUGGGCUUGGGUCCAAUUGAAACAAGAAAACUUUAAACAAUCACACGGCUCGCAACCAGUUGGAGAAGAUGAUGAAUAGUCUUCGUAGAUAUUGCCAUUUUUGUGGCCUUCUUGUUUGUGCUCAGCUAUGGGAUUAUAGUUGUUCAUGAUAUCAGAUGGAUAGGAUUCUUACUCUACGAGAGGUUCUGGUUUCGAACCCUGAUUAUCAAAAAAAUUUGUUAGAAAGCCUUGCUCUAUAGGAUUCUUGCCUUUUAACGAGAAGUCUGAAUUUUGAACUCUGAUUAUGAAAAAAAUUCUGGUAAAAAACGUUUUUGCUAUAAUAAAACCUAAAGCGGAUAACGAACACCGAAUAAAAAAUGAGAAUAAUAUGUAUGUGUAUGUGGGGAGGAAAAGGAUGAGAAGUGGAGAAUGAAUGGGUGUUUACUUAUAAUGUAAGAGUAUUUGUUAGUGCGUGUGCAAUGUGUGUGUGAAAGGGAAAGGGGAGUGAGAAGAGGGCAAGUGGCUGCAUAAAGGAAGAUUUGAGAAAUUAAUAAACCAAUAAGAAGGUUCUUGUGUUUAUAUAAGCAAAAUUUAACAGGAAAAGGAUUGUUGUUUCCUUAUCCACAUAAAUAAAGGAAAGGUGUAUUAAUAUAAACGAGUAGUACAAUGGAAGGUUCCUUUUAAAAAAAACAUAAUUAAUAUCUUUCCAAAAUUUAAUAUGCAAAAGGAUUGUUGUUUCCAUAUCCACAUAAAUAAAGGAAAACGGGUGUAGGAUAAAUACUAAUAUAAACAUAGUCAAAAUAUAAUGACCUUUUAAAAAUAAAAAUAAAAAAAUAAAAAUUAUUUGGUAUUCAUAAGUAUUGUUACAGUUCACAAAGUUAGAACAUAAGAUUUAUGAUUAAAGUUUAAUUUCUCUCCCAUCUUAUCCGUUAGGUAUAGUAGUUCCCACUAGUCGUCAAAGUAAAGACGGGUUGAAACAGUAUUGUUGCUCUGAGUGUCGCAUCUACAACGUGUCGGAUGAUAAGUGGCUGCAUUUAGCAUUCCAUAAAACGUGCUUUAUUGGAUCCACUUGAUUUAAAAUUAAAUUUAGCAUAGGUACAAAAAAUGAAAAGACAUAUAAAACUUUGAUCAAUACUCAUUUAAGUUGAUACAUUGCAUAUAUUUAACUUACAUAUUAAAAGUCUUUUUUAAUAUUUUAAUUUUUGAGCUCAACUAAAUACCUUCAUAUAAUAUUUUAAUUUUUGAGAUUAUUAGUACUAUUUAAGUCAUAGGCGCAAAGGCUAAGACCAUCCUGGUUUUACCUUAUAUGAAGUCAUGCUAGUCUUGUAUAUUUUACUAGCAAAUGCUUCUCUUAUUCUUUUUUCUUCUUCUCAAUUUCUUCCUUUUGUAUGGCGGGGAAAUGGUUUGGUCUAAAUUGAUGCUGACUAAUGCCCAAUUUCAUCUACAUAUAUGAUAGCUACUCUUUUGUUGAAUCUUUUAUUUUCUCUUUCUUUCUUUUUUUCUUUUUGUUUAUCACUUUUUACCGACACAAAACAAUAUCUUGUGAUCUUACCAACCAAAAAGCAUGAGUCAUACAACUCAGUAUAGUCCCACAAAAUAGGAUAUGGGGAGGAUAAUAUGUAGAGAAACUUUACUCCUACACAAAAAGAUAGAAAUGUUGUUUCCAAUCGACUAUCGACUCAGUAAAUCCUUAUCCAAUAACAUAAUCUAAUAUUCUCUUACUAUAUUUUAAACUACCAAAAUCAAAUUUAACUCCCACUAUACCAUUGAAUCAAGAGCUCCAUCUAUUGAACUACUGUUUUCCAAUAAUAAAAGACGAGAGUAGGAAUUAUUCGAAUACAUCAUUUAGCUGAAUCUCUCUGAAGCAGUCCAUAAUCUCAAGCAGCAUUAAACCAGUAAAGAAAAACAUGCAUUUAUUGGAUCGGAUUGCACGUCGCAACAGUUAUAUAGAUGGAUCAGAUUGCACGCCGCGACAAUAGUAGAUAAUAAGGGAUCGGGUUGCGCGCCGCUGCAAUAAUAUUACUGCAUUGUUAUAGAUAUUGUGCUAUCCUUUCAGAUUUCUAUUUAGUUUCUGGUGAAUUUGAUAUGUUCCCCGAAAUAUGUACUCCCUCUCAUUUAAACUACUUAUUCAUGUUUUUUUUCUACCAUAUAUUACAUAAAUGCACAUGUUUAUCUAGAGUCUAGUCCUAGCCUCGUCACUACCUCGCCGGUGAUGCCAGACACUUACUAGCACAUAGGAUCAUUUAUAGUGAUGCUAGAGUGCAGAUACCGGAGCAGCAUUUGGACAGUAGCUUGGGAGCCAGCCUUCAGUCCACAGAGAUUCCGAGGUAGUCCCGCAGGCGUCCGCAGGCCUGACUUUUCUUCUAUCUAUUAUUAUGUUUGUUAUCACUUGUACUCGAGACAGAUUAUGUUUUUUUCUUUCAGACACUUGUAUGUAGUAAUCUUAGAUAGUCCGUGAAUAUUGUGACGCCGAUUUCUGGGUAGAGACACAUAUUGGUAUUUUAAUAUUUAUUUUGGUAUCAUAUUAGUCAAGUCUUUCGCUUAAUUUCAUCUUCCGUUAUUAUAUAAUAUUAAUCACAUGUUAUUACCCGUUGUUAAAAAGGUUUAAAAAUGAAAGAGUUAAAUUUCUAAAUUUUAUAAUUUGUUUAGCUUAUAUAAGUAGACGUUGCCACAACUUUCAAAGAUAGAAAAUCCGAGAUGUGACACAUCAAGAACACCGUUACGUUAAGUUGUAUUAUUUGUACAGUUAAUUAGUUAAGUGGAUAACACUGUAGGAAGUCAGUUAUAUCUACCGUAGGUGUUAGUGUAAACUUUUGAUUUUAGAAGAAAAUAGUGGAAGUUCUUCACUUCUCGCUUAAUUUCUCUCUCUAAAACUCCUCUCGGCUUCUUCUCUAAUUCAUCCUCACAAUUGAAGCUUCCAACUACGAAUGGUAUAAAAACAACAACCAAUGAUAUAAUCUAUUUAAAUAUUGUAUUCAUUAAAUAAUAUAAUAUAAUACAAUACAACACGAUAUAUUAAUGAUAUUGUUAUAAUCAUAGAAAUAUUGUAAUAUAUUUAAAAUUUAAAUCUUGAAAAUAGUGUUUUUUUCUUAUAAACUUUGUUUUAGUUAAAUAGCAUCACAUAAAACAAAAAGAAAUAAAUAAUAUCAGGCUCCGAAAGAAUUUGCCAUUACGAUUAAAUAAAAAGUUAAGCUAAAUUAUUUCAAUAAAAAGGAUCAAUUAUUCUUCUUGAAAUAGACUAAACAAAAGAAUAUAUCACAUAUGGCGGAACCUAUGGUAUUAAAAUUUCAAAAUCGGUAACUACUCCCUUCAUGUUAGAUGAGUUAGUUUGAUUCGGCACGAACUUUAACCAAAAAAAAAAAAACUUUUGAAAGUUUUGAUCUUAAAAGCUUAAGGGCUCAAAUGUUCGUAGGAUCAUGAUAUUUGUGUGUCUAUAAAAGUUUCCCAUUAAAAUAAAUAGAUAAAAAAAAAUUUAAAGUUAAAUUAAUUCCAAAUUUAAAAAUAUAUUAUUUGUUUUGGAAUAGACAUCUAAUAUAAAAUGGGAAGAGUAUAAAAUGCGUCCAAGCUGUGUGAGAUAUAGCUGAUGAAGAGGAUGGUUGGUUUUUUGUUUAGUCACAUGUCUCGCCAUCAAACACUAAACAGUCUUUAUACUGCUUUUCUGGUAAGUCUUGUCAUUUAGCUAUGAUAAGCAAAAAAAGAAUUAAAAAGUGGCUACAAAAUGAUUUAUGAACUCUUCUAAAAUAAUGUCAAGUGAGUGUCUCAUUUUACAAAAAAUACUGUAUUUUUUAGUGCCUAAAAUCUGCCAAGAUUCAUCAAAGCAAAGUUCACUUAACAAAAAAGCUUCUUUCUUUUCAGGUGAGGUACAAUAUAAUAUUCUUUGAGAACAAAAAUGAUUUUGACGUGGAUCUUUAAUGAUUGUUCUUAAACUUUUGCUUUUCUCAUGACUAUCAUGUUUUAUAGGAAGAAACUGAUCAGUGUAAGUCAAGAACUUCCUUCUGAUUUAUAACAGAAGCUAUUUGCAGACGAAGAUAAUUGCUUGUAAUUUCCUUUGUAGCAGUAUAUACUAUGUGGAGUGUAGGACCUAUUUGUUGGUUUUCUUCUUCUUGAGUACUGUGUAAAAAUGGCUGGUAUGCUUUGAAAACAUACAGAAUAUCGGAAGAAAUUUAGAGAGAGAAAGUAGAG